UCUUUUAAAGAGUAGCUUGGACUGUAGAUUGGCGCCAAGUGCUUGAAUGCUGGCACUCUGAGAACGUAGCUUCUCCCGGCCAAACUUUUAAUGAUCGAGAAGUCUGGCUUGCUUAAAUGCGAAGCUGAAAUCCGGACGUUGGAAAGGAGCGCCUAGUGGGCCAAUUUUGGUAAGCAGAACUGGCGCUGUGGGAUGAACCG
This 200-nucleotide non-coding RNA is filed under the name Hypsibius dujardini. RNAcentral describes it as "Eukaryotic large subunit ribosomal RNA". It matches the Rfam family "Eukaryotic large subunit ribosomal RNA", at positions 967 to 1170 of the family's 3401-position model. The record is from Rfam by way of RNAcentral. Lineage: Eukaryota; Metazoa; Tardigrada; Eutardigrada; Parachela; Hypsibiidae.